UAGAGGAGCCGAAUGAAAAUAAAUUUUCAUGUUCGGUUCCAAGCUAAUGAUGCGGGUUCGAUUCCCGCUAUCCGCU
Molecule: transfer RNA, 76 nt
Filed under: Phlegmariurus squarrosus
Lineage: Eukaryota; Viridiplantae; Streptophyta; Lycopodiopsida; Lycopodiales; Lycopodiaceae
Also listed under: 1 other name
Description: tRNA-Gly
Source: RNAcentral